Molecule: long non-coding RNA, 375 nt
Filed under: Dermacentor andersoni
Lineage: Eukaryota; Metazoa; Arthropoda; Arachnida; Ixodida; Ixodidae
Description: uncharacterized LOC126534322
Source: RNAcentral
UCGGGUUGGGUGAUCGCGUCUGUGUACAUCUGGAAAACAGCGUCGAGAAUGUGGUUGUUCUUUUCAGCAUCCCUUUCACGGGGGCGUCGGUGCUGCUAUCAAAUCCUGUGCUCAACGAAAGUGAGCUUCUCUUUCAAGUCGGCCAUGGAGAUGCCACUCACAUCUUGACGAGUCCACAGCACGCUGCUAAGGUUCAUGCAGUUAAGAGAAAAACGAACGUUAAGGGUUUGUUUGUAAUCGGCGAGCCUGUUCCUGGGUUUGUGUCCGUGUCUGAUUUCACUGAAUUGAACGAAGACGACUUCAAAGAAGUGCCUAUCGGAGACCCUAAGCAGACCACUGUCGCUGUGUACUUCUCGUCUGGCACGACGGGCGAUG